This 301-nucleotide long non-coding RNA is filed under the name Zostera marina. RNAcentral describes it as "long non-coding RNA (ZMAR_LNC001494)". The record is from RNAcentral. Lineage: Eukaryota; Viridiplantae; Streptophyta; Magnoliopsida; Alismatales; Zosteraceae.
UCGUGUGCUUGGAACCAGAGCAAGUGAUUCAAUGCCAUUACCAAUUCCUGAUAAUAUGGCGACUUCACAGAACACAACGACGAAUUUUAUAGAAAUUCAACAAAAAAAAAGUAAAGAAGACUUUGAUCAGGCAGUUCAAGAGGCCAUUAGAAAACAGAUGCCGGAUAUACUAAAGGAACUAAGGGAAGACUUACGUCGAGAGACGAUUGAGGUAAUUAGCAUUUAUAUAUAAAUCAAUAUUCAUAUUUUCUUUGUAAUUUCAAUUUUUUUACAUUAGGGUCAGUCGAGCCAAGGACACAAC